Oncorhynchus keta (chum salmon) is the source of this 1525-nucleotide long non-coding RNA. RefSeq lists it as uncharacterized. The record is from RefSeq and is a predicted model, not a curated record. Lineage: Eukaryota; Metazoa; Chordata; Actinopteri; Salmoniformes; Salmonidae. The transcript has 3 exons.
GGUAGAUGACGUGCAUACUUAUAUAACGUAGGUAGAUGACGUGCAUACCUAUAUAAUGUAGGUAGAUGACGUGCAUACUUAUAUAACGUAGGUAGAUGACGUGCAUACCUAUAUAACGUAGGUAGAUGACGUGCAUACCUAUAUAACGUAGGUACAUGACGUGCAUACCUAUAUAACGUAGGUACAUGACGUGCAUACCUAUAUAACGUAGGUACAUGACGUGCAUACCUAUAUAACGUAGGUACAUGACGUGCAUACCUAUAUAACGUAGGUACAUGACGUGCAUACCUAUAUAACGUAGGUACAUGAUGUGCAUACCUAUAACGUAGGUACAUGAUGUAAGAACCUUUCAGCGAGACUACUCAAAGGCCAAAUCCAUUAUCGGCAAGAAUGGAAUUCAUUGCCCUUGACAACCGUUCUCUGUCGUGGGGGAUGUUGGCUUUCGCCGACUGGUCGAGCACCGGGUACAUACUACCGAGUGUGCUUUUUUUCAGAUGUUGCCCUACCGGAGUUACACAGUAAUAGAGUCACUGCUAUUAGCUUCACGACUGACAUUUGGACUAGCGAUAUCAGCCCCAUGAGCAUGCCAAGUCUGAUAGCACAGUGGGUCGACGAGGAUGUCGUAAUGUGGGAAGUCAUAUUUCCUACUCAUGAAUGUGCUGGUUGUCAUACUGCUGCUGCCAUUUCAAUGGCAUUUGAGAACAUGUUUGAAACAUGGAAACUUGAACACAGUAGCUAGCUCCAUUCAAAACAACUGACUGAAGAAAUAAGCUGAUCAACUGCAGCCGUGAUGCCCUCUGUCACAGCAUUGAAACACCUGCUCAACAAAACUGCCCACACAGGCUGUGAACAAGCGAGUCGGUGGCAUUCUCUUUACUGUGUCGCCACCAUGCUCGAUGCCAUGUACAAGGACUGCUACCUCCAUGCAAACAAGAGACAGGGGUUUAUGUGAAAUGUUACAUACACAGCUGGACAAGAAGGAAACAGAGACAGUGACAGUGGGCACCGAGGAAGAGAGGCCACAGACAGAGCUGAAACUUCACUGCUUGACAUCUAUGAUGAAAUCCUGGUUGAGAAUGAGACAAUUGAACAUAUGAACAGCAAGUAAGUGAAAGAAAUGAGGUUUGAUUAUGUUUUACUGGUAAUGGCAUGCAAAAAAAAAAAAAUCACUUCUGCCAGUGUGGUAACCUUUAUUUAACUAGGCAAGUCAGUUAAGAACAAAUUGUUAUUUACAAUGACAGCCAAAACCGGACACUGGGCCAAUUGUGCGCCGCCCUAUGGGACUCCCAAUCACGGCCGGAUGUGAUACAGCCUGGUUUCGAACCAGGGACUGUAGUGAUGCCUCCUACACUGAGAUGCAGUGCCUUAGACUGCUGCUUACAUGUGUGUUUUAUCUAUUUAACUGUACUAGAAUGCUUAAAAGGCCGCUAAAAUGUUAAAUAUCGGUAUUGGGUUUUUUUUGGCAAGGAAAAUAUUGGAUAUCGGUAUCGGCCAAAAAUGUCAUAUCGCUGCAUCACUACUUGAG